This 253-nucleotide ribosomal RNA is filed under the name uncultured bacterium. Its description in RNAcentral is "partial 16S ribosomal RNA". It matches the Rfam family "Bacterial small subunit ribosomal RNA", at positions 524 to 776 of the family's 1533-position model. The record is from RNAcentral.
UACGAAGGGUGCAAGCGUUACUCGGAAUUACUGGGCGUAAAGCGCGCGUAGGUGGUUUGUUAAGUCUGAUGUGAAAGCCCUGGGCUCAACCUGGGAAUUGCAUUGGAUACUGGCAGGCUAGAGUGCGGUAGAGGGUAGUGGAAUUCCCGGUGUAGCAGUGAAAUGCGUAGAGAUCGGGAGGAACACCAGUGGCGAAGGCGACUACCUGGACCAGCACUGACACUGAGGCACGAAAGCAUGGGGAGCAAACAGG